This 337-nucleotide unclassified non-coding RNA is filed under the name soil metagenome. Its description in RNAcentral is "partial contains 5.8S ribosomal RNA, internal transcribed spacer 2, and large subunit ribosomal RNA". The stretch from base 1 to 120 matches the Rfam family "5.8S ribosomal RNA", at positions 35 to 154 of the family's 154-position model. The record is from RNAcentral.
GAUGAAGAACGCAGCGAAAUGCGAUAAGUAGUGUGAAUUGCAGAAUUCAGUGAAUCAUCGAAUCUUUGAACGCACAUUGCGCCCUUUGGUAUUCCUUAGGGCAUGCCUGUUCGAGCGUCAUUUGAAACCUCAAGCUCAGCUUGGUGUUGGGUGUCUGUCCCCGCCUCACCGCGGGGACUCGCCUCAAAAUCAUUGGCGGCCGGUACGUUGGCUUCGAGCGCAGCAGAAACGCGAACUCGAGGCCCGGCGGAUCGGCGACCAGAAGUCACUUCUUCACAGUUUGACCUCGGAUCAGGUAGGGAUACCCGCUGAACUUAAGCAUAUCAAUAACGGAGGA